AAGUUCCUAUCUUUGCGAGUUUUUGAAUUUGUAAUGGUCGCCAAGUCUCUCAAUUCGAUGUUUUCCAUGGCGGAAACCCUAAUCCCCAACUGCACGCGAGGAAUUCCGUCAAGUUUCUCGAGCUCAAGACUAGCUUCUACUUCAAAUCUCCAAUCUCCGUCUUCCUUGGCAUGCAAAUCCGCUUUUUGCGAUCUAAAAUUUAGGUUUGCCACUCAACUUCGAUUCGGAGCUCGGAAAUGGGAGAUUCUUGCAGCUACAACGCCUGCUUCCGUGGUCGACGAUGGGUCCAUGAGCAUUGACUUGCGUCGUUUCAUUGAUCUCAAUGCCGGAAAGUGGAACGGGUCUUUUUACCAAUUCGAUGCUCAUGGAAACCUACUGCAAACUGUGAGUACAAAGCUUUCAGCGAGCUCCUAUGGGGAGGACGAACUGAUCAGCCUCAUUCAAACGUUGUAUAUAAAACAACCUCUCUUAGCAGGCAAUGAUGAAGUUGAAUGGGCAGAGUAUAAGAUCAAAGAGGCAAAUAUGUUUACCAUAGACAAGUAUCAACAGAUUGGGUUCUUUCCGAAAGAGAGAGCAUUUUCUCUUCAGUACCAGACUACCGGUAUGUUGGAAACUGUCCUAAGACAGGGGGUGCUUGGAGAAGCUGACAUUGAUGAAGAAUUUCCAAAAAACCUGAAGAUUCCUUCAAAGUGGCCUUCUAUUGUCUGUGAAAAUUGCCUAUAUUCUUUGGAGAAAGAUACACGGGCAAGAGCAUUUCACAUAAUGGAUCCAAAAGGCAUUCUCGAAAUGCUUAUUGUUUUUGUUGAAGAAAGAGGAAAGGAAAUGCCUGUCUUUCCAUCUUGCAAUACUGAGACCAUCGGUCUCAAUGUUUCUGAGCAGGACUUCCGAAAUCAAAUAACUCCGUGGCUUGGUCGAUGGGAAGGUCAUUCUGUUACCAAACGCAGUGGUGUAUAUGGAGCAACACUUGCGGAGGCAGACACUGUAGCUUUGUUCGAAAUGGAUGGGAAUGGCCAUUUAAUUCAGGAUAUAACUUCCACUGCUAGUGGGAGUGAUAUUACCACUAACGUCCAUUGGACCGGCACCAUAAGCGAUAAUAUGGCCACCUUUGAUGGAGGAUUCCAGUUGAUCUUUCUACCUGGAGGCAUGUGCAUGGGAUGCCCAUGUGACAUAGGCAGGCAUGUUGCCCAGUUGCAACCUUUCCACCUUGAAUUUUGUUGGAUGGAGUCGCUGGAGAAGCGGCAACGCCUCGUGCGAACUUAUGAUACAGAUGGCCUUGUGGUGUCAACGACUUACUUCUACGAAAUCAAAGGUUAAAGAAAACAGCUCCAAAACUCGCAGAAUCCCCUGCUUGUGUUACAAGGAGGAUCAGUGGAGACGGCCUAUGCAUCCCAGUAUACUUUGUAAUUGUGUACCAGUGGCCUACCCCAAUUCUCCUCGAGGUUUUUCCAAUAUUAAGUGCUUAUCAUGAUGGUGAUGGAUGGCUAUAGAAGUCUAAAUCCUUUUAACACUUUAUGGAGGAGCAAGGCUCUUCCCCAUCGGCAUUGUAUCUUUGACCAACAAGCUUAUUAUCAAGAAGAGAGGAGAAAGAGGAUAAUCAAAUCAUGGAGAGAAAGAUGAAGGUAAAGGAUACAGAAACUAGCUAUUGUUUCAGGUGAAGAAGGUGAACAACAAGCUUCAUCAUCACCUUUCCACAAACAAGAUGUGCAAGUUGUGUAACAAACAUAUAAACUCUAACUGCAAACCAGAGAAUUGUCAGCUCUCUGAUGGUGGUCGAGUAUGUUUAGUACAAAAUGAUGUGAAACAUCCUCAUAAGCUCGCAUUCAUUCCUUGUUUUGCCA
RNA transcript from Zingiber officinale, 1838 nucleotides. RefSeq lists it as uncharacterized. The transcript has 9 exons. NCBI's taxonomy places the organism in Eukaryota, Viridiplantae, Streptophyta, Magnoliopsida, Zingiberales, Zingiberaceae. The record is from RefSeq and is a predicted model, not a curated record.